UUUACAUGUUUACAUUUCCUGGACUAGUUCACAAAAUUGGUCUACAACUAUCUAACAACAUAAAUAUAUGUAUCUGCCUACAUAUAUAAACUCUCAUAAUCUGUUCAACAGAUCAAUGAAGGUGUCUUCUUUGCAUGGAAUUGUGAGGCCCCCUUCUGGAUGAGUAAACCCAAAUUCUUCCUCAGCUUGACAUAACAGGUCUUGAAAUGUAGGCUCAUUUAAGUAAGAGAUUGGAACUACAAAUCUUCUUCUUUGGUUCUCCCCAACAUAAACUGCCAUGCAUCCCUUGGGGAUAUUUGUAUUACGAUCAAGAUUUGUUGAGGAAAAUUGUCGGUUGAGAAUUUGCUUGAGAUUAGUGAUACGAGGCACGCGGAUACCCAUGAAUCUGACAAAAAAAGAAGCUUUCAGGGUAAACUUUGGGGAUAUGAAAAUACAAGGACUUCUGCAGAUUGAUCAAAUGAUUUUGACACAAGAUUACACUCAAUUUUAUAAUAAAUUUAUUUAAGUCUCCAAUGGUGUUUAUAUAGAACUGAUAGAAUGUAUUGGUGGUUGAUCAAAAUGCAGAUUGAGUGGCAUCUGCACAUGCUAUUCUCUUUCAAUGGCCACACAUGUUUAAGACUAAUGUUAGGACUUAAAUGUCUGUGAAAGACAUCAUGUCCUACUAUUUGUUUUGAACAAAUCUCAACCUGAAAUUUUCUUAUCUGUAUUUAUGCUUUAUGAUUAUGGUGGAGAUGCAUAUAAUAUGUAGUGAAGAUGAACCACAUGCAUCUAAAAGCUGGAAACUUCAAAUGUCAUGUUAUUAGUUCUUGUGGUCAAUAGUUUUAAGUUAGGUGCUCAUGUGAUGGUGUUUUUAUUACAUAAUCCCAGCUGCUUCUUUUGCUGAAUUGAUGUACCUUGUACUAGAAAACGCCAGCUGAUUUAACUUGUCAUAUUUAAUUAUCCUGAAUAAAAGGGUAAAUUUCCUCUAAGAAACAAACUAUCAGAUUAAAUGGUUGCGAUUCUGUCAAGUUGUAGCUGCAUUAUGUGAAAAUAUCAUAUCUGGAAUAAGGAAGGUAUACUAUCUGUAGGUGAUAAAAACAACGCCAAUGAACACUUAGUAUGUCAUCCCCACCAAAACAAUUUACGACAAUUUAAAAACGUAGAAAUUAUAUCCUGCAUGCCUCCCAAAUAAACUUAGUAUGAAACACUUAGAAUGUAGGGCAGCAUAUGUUCUUCAGAAUUUAUAUAUACCACUUAGAAUGCAGAUUGAGUGGCACAGAUGCACACUAUUAAAGACAAACUCAUAACAUAAAAUCUAUAUCCUGCCUGCUAGAUAGAUCUUUGGUGGAGUCUUUAGCUAUGGAGUAGUUAUGUCUGCAACCCACAUAUGUCUUCCUUUUAGUUUGAUUUUUUUUGUUCACACAUAUGACAAUUGUAGGAAACCGUCUAUUCUUCAGCAAUCGUAUACCAGGUCAAGAUCUGACAUUGGGUCGAGAUUUCUUAAGCAGGCAUAGUCGGAAUUGAUGUUUCCCACCACACUUAUAUACCAUGUUAUAAGUCAUAAAUACAUGUAGCUACUGAAAGACAAGAUCAUGUGUUUAGUGUCUAAUGCCUCACCACUCAAUGUGCAAUAUGAUGAGAUCUUUUAUACAACUUUCUUCUUGCUCUAUAUAAACACUUAACUAAGCGUUACUAAAAUUCAUCACAAACUCACUUGUCUAAGUCUAAAGCCUGAACUACAAAAAUAUAUACAGGUCCUAGUGUUUUCUCAGUUUCUCUGAACUCUUAUCUGAAAGAUCUAUAGCAUCAUGGGUAUCCGUAUGCCUCGUAUUACUAAUCUUAAGCAGAUCCUUAACAGGUCGUCAUUCUUAUUGAAUCCUGAUCUCGCGUCAACAAUUCCAAAGGGGUGCUUGGCAGUUUAUAUUGGCGAGAGGCAAAGAAGCCGAUUUGUGGUACCCAUUUCAAUCCUGAAUGAGCCUGCCUUUCAAGGUUUGUUAAGUCAAGCCGAGGAAGAAUUUGGAUUCAAUCAUCCUGAAGGUGGUCUUACAAUUCCUUGCUCAGUGGACACAUUCAUUAAUCUCACGUCAUGCCUGAACAAUUUCUAAUAGUGUUUUUUUUAUAUACUUUUAGAUAGUAUACCACCUCCGAUCUCAUUUGAUGAGCUUCUGAGUGUACAUUGUAGAACAGAGAUCUCUUCAUACAAACUUUGUAGGGAGCCCAUAAUUUGACACUCAAUUGAUUUUGAUCAUAUUGAUUUCUCUUAUUCUCAUAACUGGAUACUUUUUAUUUAUAUAAGCACAUAGAUAAGCAGUGGUUGAAAUCAUCACAAUUUUAAUUGUCUAAAGCCUUAUUCAUACAACAUACAACUUUACCUAGUAUUACUAAUCUUGAUAAAUCCUGAUUAUACUCUAACAAUUCCAAAAGGGUUGGUUAGCAUACCUGAAUGAACCCUGCCUUUCAAGACUUAUCAAGUUAACCCGAGGAAGAAUAUGGAUUCCAUCAUCCGGAAGGUGGCCUCAAAAUUCCCUGCACAGAGGACACGUUCCUUGACCUCACUUGGCGCCUACAAAAUUAUAUUGAAAAACAGUUUAUUUAAUCGUUAAAUAGCAUAGCAUCUCCAAACAUAUUUACUUAGCUUAAAAAUGUGUACAGUAGCAUAGAGAUUUUUAAAUUGCAUUAUAUAAGCGAGAUAUAAUAGUCAGAUACUCGAUUUGCACCAAGACACAUUGAUUACGGUUUCUGUUGAUACUGUUUCUAUCUAACAAAUUUUUAUCUGAAAACAAAUUACUAACUCUCUCAAAGAUAAGAAUUGUUCUUGGAACAUAUCCGUAAUAUACAAAACCUACAAAAAAAACCAACUAAAUAUGCCAAGGUAUAGCAGUCUAAGAGCCUGUUUGUCCAGGCUUCAAGCUGGGACUUUAAACUGUUUCUAAUUUUAAGCUGAAAAAUGUAUGUUUGUGUAAUAAGUUAGAAGCCGACUUAAAGUCAGAAUUAAGCCAGAAACUGACUCAAAGCCAGAAGUUAGUUUGAUGUACUUUUUAAAUCCUAAUCUUACCUCAACGAUUCCAAAGGGGUGCUUGGCAGUUUAUAUUGUGGAGAGGCAAAGAAGCCGAUUUGUAGUACCCAUUUCAUACCUGAAUGAGCCUGCCUUUCAAUAUUUGUUAAGUCAAGCCGAGGAAGAAUUUGGAUUUAAUCAUCCGGAAGGAGGUCUUACAAUUCCUUGCUCAGUGGACACAUUCAUUGAUCUCACUUCGCGCCUGAGAAAUUUAAAAUGGAAAACAAUUUGUGUAUUUUUAGAUGUUAGAGCAACUGUGAUCUCAUACGAUGAGCAUCUGAGUGUCAAUUGUAGAACAGAGGUUUUUCAUAUAAGUUAUGUAGGAAAAGCAUAAGUUGAUACUCAGUUUUUUGAAUGUAUUGACCAUCAGUUAUUCUCAAAGAUGCUUUUUAUAUUGAACCUGUUAUUAUUCCUAAAUCAAAUCACUAAGUUCCUUGUGAAGUUACGAUACUUUCCCCCCAAAUACAUCCCUACAUAUAUCAACACAGCCAUUUUUUAUAUUACUAUAACAUUUGCUUCUAACAAUGUGUAUUAUCUCUAGUGUUAUUACAAGUACUCUGAGCUAGUGUAUAUAUAUGAGAUUAGAACCAGUUAUACAAAACAUCUCCAUGAAAGACUAGUUUCAAGAAUAAAUCCAUGUAGAUAUUGUUGUCUUGAAUUACAAAGUAUCAGCCAAUUCCCUGCCUAAAGAUUUACAUGUUUAUAUUACCUGGACUAGUUCACAAAAUUGGUAUACAACUAUCUAACAACAUAAAAAUAUGUAUCUGCCUACAUAUAUAAACUCUCAUAUUCUAUUCAACAGAUCAAUGAAGGUGUCUUCUUUGCAUGGAAUCGUGAGGCCUCCUUCUGGAUGACUAAACCCAAAUUCUUCCUCAGCUUGACUUAACAGGUCUUGGAACGUAGGCUCAUUUAAGUAAGAGAUCGGAACUACAAAUCUUCUUCUUUGGUUCUCCCCAACAUAAACUGCCAUGCAUCCCUUAGGGACAUUUGUACUACGAUCAAGAUUUGUUGAGGAGAAUUGGCGGUUAAGCAUUUGCUUGAGACUAGUGAUACGAGGAACAUGGAUACCCAUGAAUUUGACAAAAAAAAUGAAAUUUUCCGGGUAAACUUUGGGGAUAUGAAAAUACAAGGACUUCUGCAGAUUGAUCAAAUGGUUUUGACACUAGAUUACACUCAAGUUUAUAAUGACUUUGGUUAAGUUUCCAAUGGUGUUUAUAUAGAACUGAUUGAAUGUAUUGGCCGUUGAUCAAAAUGCAGAUUGAGUGGCACAGAUGCAUUAGGCAUCAGCACAUGCUAUUCUCUUUCACUGGCCACAUAUGUUUAAGACUAAUGUUAGGAAUUAUAUGUCUGUUAAGAGACAUCAUGUCCUACAAUUUGUUUUGAACAAAUCUCAACCUGAUAUUUAUGCUUUAUGAUAUGAGAGUUCAUACAUAUAAUAUGCAGUGAGACGAACCACAUGCAUCUAAAAGCUGGAAACUUCAAAUGUCAUGUUAUUANCUUCAUACAAACUUUGUAGGGAGCCCAUAAUUUGACACUCAAUUGAUUUUGAUCAUAUUGAUUUCUCUUAUUCUCAUAACUGGAUACUUUUUAUUUAUAUAAGCACAUAGAUAAGCAGUGGUUGAAAUCAUCACAAUUUUAAUUGUCUAAAGCCUUAUUCAUACAACAUACAACUUUACCUAGUAUUACUAAUCUUGAUAAAUCCUGAUUAUACUCUAACAAUUCCAAAAGGGUUGGUUAGCAUACCUGAAUGAACCCUGCCUUUCAAGACUUAUCAAGUUAACCCGAGGAAGAAUAUGGAUUCCAUCAUCCGGAAGGUGGCCUCAAAAUUCCCUGCACAGAGGACACGUUCCUUGACCUCACUUGGCGCCUACAAAAUUAUAUUGAAAAACAGUUUAUUUAAUCGUUAAAUAGCAUAGCAUCUCCAAACAUAUUUACUUAGCUUAAAAAUGUGUACAGUAGCAUAGAGAUUUUUAAAUUGCAUUAUAUAAGCGAGAUAUAAUAGUCAGAUACUCGAUUUGCACCAAGACACAUUGAUUACGGUUUCUGUUGAUACUGUUUCUAUCUAACAAAUUUUUAUCUGAAAACAAAUUACUAACUCUCUCAAAGAUAAGAAUUGUUCUUGGAACAUAUCCGUAAUAUACAAAACCUACAAAAAAAACCAACUAAAUAUGCCAAGGUAUAGCAGUCUAAGAGCCUGUUUGUCCAGGCUUCAAGCUGGGACUUUAAACUGUUUCUAAUUUUAAGCUGAAAAAUGUAUGUUUGUGUAAUAAGUUAGAAGCCGACUUAAAGUCAGAAUUAAGCCAGAAACUGACUCAAAGCCAGAAGUUAGUUUGAUGUACUUUUUAAAUCCUAAUCUUACCUCAACGAUUCCAAAGGGGUGCUUGGCAGUUUAUAUUGUGGAGAGGCAAAGAAGCCGAUUUGUAGUACCCAUUUCAUACCUGAAUGAGCCUGCCUUUCAAUAUUUGUUAAGUCAAGCCGAGGAAGAAUUUGGAUUUAAUCAUCCGGAAGGAGGUCUUACAAUUCCUUGCUCAGUGGACACAUUCAUUGAUCUCACUUCGCGCCUGAGAAAUUUAAAAUGGAAAACAAUUUGUGUAUUUUUAGAUGUUAGAGCAACUGUGAUCUCAUACGAUGAGCAUCUGAGUGUCAAUUGUAGAACAGAGGUUUUUCAUAUAAGUUAUGUAGGAAAAGCAUAAGUUGAUACUCAGUUUUUUGAAUGUAUUGACCAUCAGUUAUUCUCAAAGAUGCUUUUUAUAUUGAACCUGUUAUUAUUCCUAAAUCAAAUCACUAAGUUCCUUGUGAAGUUACGAUACUUUCCCCCCAAAUACAUCCCUACAUAUAUCAACACAGCCAUUUUUUAUAUUACUAUAACAUUUGCUUCUAACAAUGUGUAUUAUCUCUAGUGUUAUUACAAGUACUCUGAGCUAGUGUAUAUAUAUGAGAUUAGAACCAGUUAUACAAAACAUCUCCAUGAAAGACUAGUUUCAAGAAUAAAUCCAUGUAGAUAUUGUUGUCUUGAAUUACAAAGUAUCAGCCAAUUCCCUGCCUAAAGAUUUACAUGUUUAUAUUACCUGGACUAGUUCACAAAAUUGGUAUACAACUAUCUAACAACAUAAAAAUAUGUAUCUGCCUACAUAUAUAAACUCUCAUAUUCUAUUCAACAGAUCAAUGAAGGUGUCUUCUUUGCAUGGAAUCGUGAGGCCUCCUUCUGGAUGACUAAACCCAAAUUCUUCCUCAGCUUGACUUAACAGGUCUUGGAACGUAGGCUCAUUUAAGUAAGAGAUCGGAACUACAAAUCUUCUUCUUUGGUUCUCCCCAACAUAAACUGCCAUGCAUCCCUUAGGGACAUUUGUACUACGAUCAAGAUUUGU
RNAcentral lists this long non-coding RNA (6402 nucleotides) under Daucus carota (carrot). RNAcentral's name for it is "long non-coding RNA (DCAR_LNC001142)". The record is from RNAcentral. Lineage: Eukaryota; Viridiplantae; Streptophyta; Magnoliopsida; Apiales; Apiaceae.